GGAUGAGAAGAUGAUCUGUCUGUGACAGAUGUCAUCCCAUGGGCUAUCAGCACUGACUCAGAUGCUCUGGAUGGUUAGGCAGGUAUCUCUGUCCUCUCCCAAUGCUCCAUGUGCAUUCUUCCUAAAGCCGUGUGCUCAGUCAGAGAGGACAACCACCCCCAAGAGAGGAGGACUAUUCUCUGUCACAACUAGCUGAGUGCCCCUGCUAGAACCUCCAAACAAACUCAAGAAAUAACCCUGCUCAUCAUGCAUAUAUGAUGUGGAACAAAAUUCUUUAUGGUUAAAAUAACCAUAAGG
RNAcentral lists this small nuclear RNA (297 nucleotides) under Octodon degus (degu). RNAcentral describes it as "7SK RNA (ENSODEG00000023010.1)". It matches the Rfam family "7SK RNA". From Rfam's summary of the family: 7SK was discovered as an abundant small nuclear RNA in the mid-70s but a possible function has only recently been suggested. Two independent studies have found that 7SK RNA binds the CDK9/cyclin T complex (known as elongation factor P-TEFb). Lineage: Eukaryota; Metazoa; Chordata; Mammalia; Rodentia; Octodontidae. The record is from Rfam by way of RNAcentral.